AAAAGUGGUUGCAACUUGAAACAUCAUGUUCAGGCCUCCUCGAAGGUGGGUUGGCGCCAUCUCAGACAAAUAGAGCGGGAUAGCCUUCAAAAAGGUAUAACUGGAUUGUUAUCAAACAUACUUUUUUUCCUGUAGAAUUUGAUGAGCCUACGUUAACAUUCACAUAAUUAAUAUUGACAGUCACUUUUCAAAGCUACAUUUGAUACUUUGGUUAACUAGACUUUAGAGUUUGGUUUUACAGACAAAAGGUUGCUCAAUUGUUCCUUUUAUUAAUAAACCAAUGUUUUACAUCAACAUAAAAAAUUGUUUAUAUUUUUGCUCUGUAAUGGAUCAAAGAUUAUUGAAAAGAAAUGCUGCUACCUGAUUUCCAAAUCCAAUGCCAACACCUUGCAAAAUCCUUCCUAUGAUGAGCAUUUCCAGAUUAACAGCUGCAGCAUUCAGAGCUGAGCCAAUGAGAAAGCUGAUACCACCGACUAUGAUACUUGUUCUUCGUCCAAACUUCCUUGUAACUGGAGCUGCGACCAGAGAUGCAACAAAACCAGCAAUGUAUAAAGUAGAGGUAAAUGCAGCAAUGCCCUGAUUGUUAUACUUGCAGUAGUUGUUUUCAUGUGCUUGCAUUUUAUGUUUGUACACUGAGGGGAAAAAUAUCUGAAGAAAGUCAUCCAUGGAAGCAACUCCUCCUGUUAACCAUGGCACGUGCGUCAACUUUAUGAUAAAUGACUAUGAUGAUGAAGGUUAUGCUUAUUUACAUAUUCUGAUAAAGAAAAUGAUGAAUAUGAUCCAUCAGAAAAAUAAAUAAAAAGCUUAAUUUGGGGGUCACAUUGAUAAUCUUGACCUAGUUAUAUUUAUUUUUUAUGUGAGUGAUAAAGUGGUUCUAACAAUUAGUCAGAAUAAAAAGGUGGUUCUAACUUCAAUGAUUUAGUCUACCGCAAGCUAUCCAUUCUGAAUUGAUUAAUAUCGAAUAUUUCUUUAAAUAAGAUUAAAUGUUAGCUCAUAAUAGUAGUAGAUCGUACGCCAUGUUCCAAAAGGUUAUUAAAAUAAUUUGUUAUCUUUGUUGGAGGGCAAGUGUCGGGUGGUAAUAAGACAUACGACAUUAUCAUACAGAUGACAUAAGUAAAUUAGAUCUAGGACAUCAGAAUCAAAAUUAAAUACUAAGCAACAAUGAGUUUAACAAGUGGAUGUAUUUAUUAAUUUGAAAUUUAGAUUAAAUUUAUUAACUUUUUUUAAGUCACUUUGUUAUAUUUCAUUUGGAGGGGAGGAUCAUGCAAUUUGAUGCGGGAUUUGUCACUUAACCAUUACAUAUGAGCAUUUGAAAUUAUUUGAAGAAAAAAAUGUCCAAGUUGAAAUUGUACUUAUGAGAAAAUACUUGGGAAUUGCAUCUUAGAAUUAUAGGGGAGAGGGCUUUAAGCACUUCAGCGAGACUUUAGAGUAAUCACGAGAUUGGCACUUUUUUUGGUUUUAAUGGAAUAGGAUCUUAGUGAUUCGGAUUUGACUGAAAAAUAAAUAAAUUUUUAUAAAAAUUGUUGCAGAUUCAAAAUUAGACUCUUAUGAAUGAUUUGUUUAUAGUUACAUACAAUAAAAAUCAUUCAUAAAUAAAUAUUAGUAUAUUCAUUUUAAAAUUUUAUUGUAGGAUUUAUUUUAUAUAUAAUACCAAUUAAUUAUAAUUAUUAGAUUAUUAAAAAUAAUUGAUUUUUAUUAUAAUUAUUUUAAAAUUGUGUUUAUGAAUUAUUAUAAUGUAUUAACACAGUAAAAAGAGAAGAAUGUUUAUUAUUUAAAAAAAAACUGAGUUUCUAUUUAAAUCAAUUGAGUUAUUUUCUUUAUCAAAAUAUGCAUUUAGUUGAAACGUGGGAUUAAGUACUACUAUAUCCAUGCAUCUUUCCUUGUUUUUAAUUCAAGCACCGUAUCUUUCCUUUUUUUAACUCUAGCCAUGUAUCUUUCCUGUUUUUUUUUUACUCCCAUGUAUCUUUCCUAGGUCUCUUUUUUUGUGUUUUUCCUCUAGUUUGCUGUUUUUCUCUCUCCCACUAAUUGUCUUUCCCAGUUGUUUUUUUUGUUUUGUUGUGAAAAGGCAUCUUUCCCACUAGGCCACUUGUUCCCUCACGAGAACUAUUCAUCUUCCUUCUCCAUAUGUCUUUAUCUUUUAUGUGUAAACUGCAAAUUCCAUAAGAACCGGUGUUAACCAAACCGGUUUAUAAGAACCGAUUCACGGUUCAAUCGGUUCAAGGAGGGAGAAGCAAAUCAUGCGACUAGUAAACUUAAGAUAUGACAGAUUGAAAAUGUUGGAAACAUACAUAUAGACAUGAAAUUAAUAUUAAUAACACUCGAUCGGAAAAACGAGAUUCGUUUAUAAACUCAGAAAAUUGAAAUACAUGAUAGCUAGCAAGAUUUAGGAUUAAGAAGAGAACCUGAAAUUCCAACGUCAUAGCCGAAGAGGGACCCGCCAGUAGCAGCAACAAUGCAAGCGAUGAUGACAUGAACUGUGACCCUCCCUUUAUAUUGUUCUGCUCUUCCGUUAGUACUGCUACCCACACCACCAAGAAUGGAAGGUCCAUCUUCCAUUUCCUUAUAACAGGAGGCAUGUAAGGGAUAAUAAUACUUUAUUAUUGAUGUUGUAAAACAUACAUCACUUCAAUCUCACCUUCAAUUUUAUUAUAUACACAACUUGUAAAGUAAGUAGUAAAUAAACUAGGGUACCAACCUAUACUUUGCUCCGUGAUUAUUUUAUGAAAAUAGUGCCUCAACUUUUUUGACCUAAUCUCUGUUUAAUUAUUAUGCAUUAUUGCUUCCCGCACUCAACGUUCAAAACACGCAGCUCCUUUUCAACUGUAUCAAAGUUCAAAACUACUUCUAAUCUCACAUAUACAUCUAAGCAAGGGAAAAGCUGUUCAAUGGCCUAAAAUAGAUAUAAAUUUGUAUCAUUUUUAGUAUACUAAUUUCAUUUAAUUAAUGAUCCUUUAAGAAAUUAGUUGCACAUUUAUUAGGAGUUAGUUACAACUGGCUUAAAAGUUAGAUAAUUGAUUGUCAAUAGACAAUUUGGUCAUUAGUUUACUAGGUUUCCCAAACUUUUAUAUAGAUUUUUUUUAGUUUCAAAAUACGGUUUAAAAUAAUUUUUAAUUAUAUUAUUGAGUUAAGUCGUACAAUAAUUUUUUUUUUAAGCUGUGGUAUUGUUUAAAAUUGGACAAACAAACUAUCAAUUACGACAUCUUUAAAAUAAAACAGCUCAGUUACGAAAGUAGUUCAGAAGUGUAGAGAUAAAAAAUUUUUAGAAAUUGCAUCUAAUAUUAUUGUGAUUUUAUUGAGAAUUUGACACUUUUUAUAUAGUAAUAGAAUAUAUUUAAUGAGAAACUUAUCUAUAGAUUUAUAAGUUAACAGAUAUAUUAAAAAAAUUCGAUUAUAAAAUUUUGUAUAUUUUUCUAAUUCACAUUUAAAUUCUACAAAUAUUUUAUCAUGUAUUUAUUUGAUAUCUUUUUUAGUCAAUUAAUAUGAACUCUAGAGUUUUUUUUUUUCUAUCAAACUCUGAAACUUAUUUUUCCAUGAGAAAUUUUUAUAUCUCUUUGAUACUGUGAUUUUAACACCCUUCAAUUAAUUUAAAUUUACUAUCCUUUUUAGUCUAUUAAUAUAAACUCUAGAACAAAUUUUGAUUAAGGAUUGAUGGCAUUCAACAUGACCCAGCUUGUUUUAACAUGUAUUGUAGCUAUAAAUAAUUUAUACUAACAACGAUUGUAAUCCGUUAAUUAUGUGAUUAUUUAAUGUUGACACUUAAAAUCAUAAUGUGAAAUAAUAUAAUAAUUCUUGUUAGCACGUCUUUUUCUCAAUUUUUUAAGGUAGAGAUUUGAUCAAAAUGAUGAUGAUUGCCUAAGACUUUGUGGUGCAUAGUUGAGCAUAGGCUAGGUAGAUGGCUAAUCUGAUACUAUAGAUCACUCAGUGGACUUUACUUCUGUUCUGCACCAUUCAGUGGAAUACUGCUAUUUUCAUUAACCAGAUCCCCAACAUAUCACAUUUUUUCCUUACAUGACUGUCCUAUUUACAGUAUGUACUAAGUUACAGUAUAGUUGAGCGUUUAACUGCAGAUCAGUGUGAACUCAGUCGUGCCCUUAAAUAUUUCUUUUUUCUUUUUCUGCAAAAAUCUUUUUGUUUAAACUCAUCUGUUCCAUCUCACCAUUUUCUUUUCCAUUUCUUUGUAAUGUAUUAUUAUAUUAUAUAUAAUUAUUAUCAGUGUAUGAGAAAAAUGUGUGUACACCAAUUUUAUACCGUGAACUAAAAUAGGUCAUUAAAUAUUAUAUAAUUAUAAUUUUCAUAAUCAAUAAUUAAAUAAUCACUUUUUUAUAUUUACUAUCACCUUGAAACUAUUCAGACUAACGAUAUUAUAUCCGUACUAUUAUACAUGUGAUGAUAUGAUAAUGGCAUAAUGCAAUCUCAUGGGACAGUUUUACCAAUUUUUUGUUGACAAAAAUAAAUAUUAGAAACUUGUACGAAAAGAAAAAAGUUUUUACACCAUUUUAUUAACCACCCGGGCCUUUUCUUUUUCAAGCCCGUGGUUUUGCACGGUUUUCACGAAUAAUUUGGAAAUAGCCAAUAGGCCGGUGAAACUAGGCUUUUGUAAAAUUAGGUGAAGUUUGUGAUUUUUUUUUAACAUAAAAUAUUUUUAAAAAAAAUUCUAAAAAUCAUUAUCUCUCUAAUAAAAUAUAAAUAUAGAUAAUAAUUGAAAUAUUAAUAUAUUUAAUUAAAAAUUAAAAAUAAAUACAUCAAUUUUUAGUUAAUUUUUUAAUUUAUAUUUUAUUUUAAAAUAAUAAUUUUCAAACUAUGCACUUGUCAAAAUGAGUUAAGGUCUUUAGUAUACAUACACUUUUUUUAUAUUCAAGACAGACUUAUAUAAAAACCUAGUGCAACAUGUUAAUUUAUUUAAAAAUAUAUUUUAUAUUAAUAUUUUUAGAUUAGUAAUUUAAUAUAUUUUUGAAUAAAUUAAUAUGUCAAUAAAGUUAAGUAUUCUUUUUUAAUUAAAAAUAAUAUUUAAAGAAAUUGAUUUUAAAUAAUAUUGUAUGUUAAUUUUAUUUUAUUAUAAUGUAUUUAAAUAUGAUAAAAAAUAAUAUAAUUAAAUUAUUAAAAGAUUAAUAAAAUUAAAAUUUAACAUAAAAUUAAAAUCUAAUAUAAUAAUAAUAAUAAUAAUAAUAAAUAAAAAUAUUAUUUAUAUUUAUUUAAAUAAACCGACUUAAUAUACAUAGAAGACUUUUUACAUGUUUUAAUCUGAACUUUUAAAUUAAAUAGGCUUAUAGAAAAAAUUAGAUUUUGUCUAUUUAAAAAAAAUUUGUUUAGACUGAUUUAAUUGUAGAUUAUACCGUACAUCCCUGAGAGAAUUUGACUUACUUCGAUCUUACAAAUCACCUAAUUUAUGAUACAACUUUACAUUUUUAAUCAAUAUUAUAUAUUAUAAUUUAAAAACAAUAAAAAUAGUAAAAUUAAUUCUUAACGAUUAUUAAAUUGACAAAUUCUAAAAAAUAAAUUGUAUUUUUUUUGACAUGGAUUGAGUUACGAGACACGUGAAUCAACUGUGAAGGAGAUUUUAAAGAUUAUAUUAUCGUCAAAAUCAAAUAAUAUUAAAAUAAAUUUUUAUGUGUAUCAUAGACCUAAGUUCUCACUUGUUUGUAAAGUAUUACAUAUAGAUAUCAACUUAGCCAACACAAUUCAAAAAAAAGAGAUUAAAUUUUUAUAAUAUAAUAAAUUUAAAUUUUUAUUCAAAAAGAAAAAUCUACAUCUAAUAUCCGACGGACUUCAAAUAUAAUUCUUUUUAAACGAAGAAAGCCUAUCAAAAAAACAAAAAAUAAAAUAAAAAGAUCAUAUCAGUUUAUAGUACAAGUUAAAUCAUAAUUUUGAUUUUUAAAACUACAAGAAUGGAGUAACAUGGUCUUUCAAUUAAUCAACAAGAUAGCAAAUCGAUUAUUUAAAUUGAAAAUUGUUAAUCAAUAUAAUACCUCUAUCAUCCAAUAGUGUCAAAAUUGAUGAGCCAACUUGUUGUCUACGGUGUAUGUUUUGAUAAAUUUGUAUCGAGAUUCCAUUAACAUCUAUUUUGUAAUUUAAAUCAGUUAGAGUUAAUUGACAAUACUUACUUUUAUAAAUUAAUUUUUCAUUUUAUAAAAGGAGAUAACUAAAUUGAUAUUUUUUUGAUAAAUUAAAAUAUCUUAUGCGCAUAAAUCUAAAGAUUAAUUUUUUGAAGUAAUUAAAAUAUAUUUAAAUGACUAAAAGUUUAAGCUUCGAAAAUGUGUGUCACCUCGUAUUGGAAAUAUAUAAUUAAAUUCCUUACUCCUGCUAUUUGGAGAAAUAAUUUUGACUACUCUUUUACUGUGAUAUUCCAACCGUCUCUUUAUAGGAUGCAACUCUAUGUAGAUUCUCUCUAAAUUUAGGUCUUGUCUGUUCCUUCCUUUUAUUCUUUAUGUUAUUCUUCUAUUUCUUUAACAACCAUUUUAAUAAAAUUAUAUGCUUGUGUUUUUCAUGAGUUAUAAAUUAAAUAAUAAUUUUUAAUGAUCUUUAUGUAUAUAUUUAUAGUUUUAUAUAGUGUAUACACGUCUAUUCUACAUUUUCUAUUUAAUUAAACAUUGCAAAAGAAAGUGUUAUCUUCUCAAACAAUAAAGAUUAUCUCACUUUUUAUGCAUUUUUAUUUAUUUAACACUAUUUCUUUUCAUUUUCCUUUUCAAUCCAAACAUUACUUUUAUUUUUCUAAUAAAAAAACAAAGCAUUAAUUUUGACAAUUUUGGUCACCUAACAUGUUCUUAAGAAAAUUCCACAGAUAAUAAUUAUAUAUUAAAAACGUAAAAUACAUGAUUUUUCAAAAAAAUUAAAAAUAUAAUUUUAGAUAUAAAAUUUAUAUGUUUAAUACAUUAACAAAUAUACACAUAUCCUAGUUUCACUUUAAACUUUUAAUGGAUUGAAACAUCCAGAAAUACAAAAGAACUCUUGGAUAUUGCAUCAAUCAAUCAAUUACAGGGAAGAAAAAAUAUUUUCAGCCGAAUUUGAGGAAAAACAAGGUAAGGAGAAAACCAAUUUCCAUGUUGCUACUUGCUAAUGCUGGCCACCUCCAUAGUAUAUAUGUCAUCAUUAGAAUGUCCUUCCAAGAGAGAAUCUCCUAUGUGGGCCAAUAAAUUAUUGCCUUGCCAAAAAUAAAAAAUACGUUUUUCUUCUAGAAAUUCUUACGUGCGAGAUAUAUGUAACACGUCACUCUUAGGCCCAACUAAUACUAAAAGUAUGGCAUGUAAAAAAUGAAAAGUAUAAAAAGGAAAUCAAAUUUCAUGCUUUUAAAUUUUAUCUCUCUUUAUUAAAAAAAAAAAAGUUUUAUCUCUCUUUCAAGUUUUCUGAGAUUCAAUUUUGGAAGUGACCACCUACACAUUUGUACCAAGGCAAGAAUUUCUCAACAUGUUUUUUGUCUUAAAGGUGUUGGGGUCAGGGUCUAUAGAGACCCUUUACUAUAGUUGUUAAAAAAAAGAUUAUAAAGACAAAAUUAACGACGGAAAUUGAGGAAUUUUUUUUCCUACGGACUACGGUAGUCACCUAAUAAUAUAUUAAAAGAAGCUUAUAUAGGAAUAUGUUCAAUAUAUAUAUCUUCAUCAAUCAUAAUUUGGAAACUAGUUAGAGAUGAGACUACUAUAAUAAGAACAUGAAGUGCCUCGUUUACACUAAAUUCAAUGAUAUUCAAUUUGUUACUAUUAAAAAGAUAUUAAUUACUUUCUUACAAUUUAAUUUAAAUGUAAUUAAGUUCAACUGAAACUCGAUAACCCACUUAAGGGUCUUCAAUAAACUUAGAGUUUCAUCCGUAUCCACUAAACACUAAAGUGAAAACUAUUUUGUUUUAGCUAAAACAAAUGUUCCAUUUUAGUCUCUGAUGUAAGCUUCGAGUUCAAUCCGUUGAGAUUGGGAUGAAAGCAAUACAUCGUUAAUAUUUCUCAUUGCAAUACUGAAUAGGGUGUCUGAUUUAUUCCUUUUUAUAGCUUGGUCAUUUAUUUUGCUAUGUUUGAUAAUUUAGAUCAAUACAUCAACCAUAAAAAAAAAAAAUAUGAAAAGGAAUAACUAUUUAGUUUAUUCAUUUUAUUCUUUAAUGGCAUUCAAACCAACACUCCUAUGCACGUUUAUCUGUUUUUUUUCCGUUGCACUAAAAUAUUUAUUAGAUUUCUUUAUUUAUUGUUUAUUAGAUUUUUUUAAAAUAAAUCUGCCACUGAAUAUUACUUUAUUGCAAUGAAAAAUUAAUUAAAAAAAUAAACAAAGGAAAGGACAAAAAUGAUAGAACGAUAACUCAAAUGUAGUUUUUAGAAGCUUUUUUAGGAAUAGUUUUAAUUUAACUUAAUUAUUCAUUCAAAUUAAAAAAAGUCAAUCGAUCAAGUACAAUAUACAUACAAAUUCGAUAAAAUUGAAAAUGAUAAAUAUGAAAACAAACUCAGAAAAUUGAAAUUACAAGUUUGAUAAAAUUUAAACGACUAAACUUCAAAUAUACAACGUUGAUAACAUUGAAAUUAUUUAUUGAAUCUGGUUGUAUUGAAUUAAAAUAAAUAUAAAUAAAAUAAACACCAAUGGAACAAAAAAACUAAACUCACACUUAAUUGACAUGUAACAUAAAACAACAAAGAAAAAGUUAAUUUAUGUAAAAAUUAUUUGUUUAGAUUAAAUUAUAAAAAAAAUGAUGUUGAUUUCAAAAAAAAAAAGUCAUAAAUCUUCUAUCUUUUAUAAUAAAGAAAAUGAAUAAUUUUUAAUAGUUAAACAAAUUGAAAAGUUAAGAUUUUUAUAUAUAAAAAAAAACUACCAAUAACAGAUCUAAACUAAUAAUAAAGACAAUACACCAAUUUGGUGUAGUCUAAUUUUUUCAUAUAUAGUAAUAAUAAAAAUAAUACACUACUUUGAUGUUGUCUUACAUAUUUACCUUGAUAUUUUUUUUUUAUUUUUUAUAAAAAAAAUCACUUAAUCUAUCGUUUAAAUAUAUAACGUUGAUAAUAUUGAAAUCAUUUAUUAAAUAUAAUUAUAUUAAAUAUAAUAUUAAAAUAAAUAUGAAUAAAAUGAAUAUUACAAUAAAACAGAAAAACUAAACGUCAUAUUUAUUGACAUGUAACAGAAAACAAAAAAAAAAGUUAAUUUAUAUAAAAAUUUAUUGUUUAGACUAAAUUAUAAAAAAAAACAAUGUUGAUUUCAAAAAAGAAAAAUAAAAAAUAUUCUAUCUUUUAUAAUAAAGAAAAUGAAUAAUUUUUAGUAGUUAAAGAAUUGAAAAGUUAAAAUUUUUAUAAAAAAAAACUACCAAUGACAUAUCUAUACUAAUAAUAAAGACAAUACACCAAUUUGGUGUAGUCUAAUUUUUUCAAAUAUAACAAUAAUAAAAACAAUACACUACUUUGAUGUUGUCUUACAUAUUUACAUAUUUACUUAGAUAGUCUUUUUUUUCUUCUUUUUUUUUCUAAAAGAAACCACUUAAUCACUAGUUUAAAUCAUUUUUCUUGCAAAAACACGUUUCAAUAUUUUAUUACUUACAUAAGUUUUUUUUUUAUAAUAAAUAAACAAAUAAAAAUCACUUUAUUUUGUAUACUUAUAUUUAUUUCAUUUAUCUCAUUUUAUUCAAAAUAAAAAUGACAUAAUAUUUUUUUUUUCACAAUCAAUUUACGUUGAGCAAUAAAAAAGUAGAUAAAUAAUGCCAUUUAGAAGUUAGUUAUAAUAAAAUUGAUCUCUCUAUUUUAAAAAUUGACAAUUUUUAUCCCUCCCUUUGAUUUUUUAACUAAAAAAUAAUCAUAUAAAAUAUUUUAAAUAACGUGACAUAUAAUAUGAUGAUGUAAAAUUAUUAAUAUCCGUGAAAUUGGAACAAAAUGCCAUAAAAACUUAUAUUUCAACUUUCAAAUUUUUUUAUAUUUUUAAUUUAAUUAAUGACAUAUAAAUAGUUAAUACAUCUAGAUGAUUCUAUAUCACAAAAUUGUAUGUCACGUUCUUAAAAAUAUGAAAAGUGAUCAUUUUUUAGUUAAAAAACUGAAAAAAUGACCAAAAUUAUCGAUUUUCAAAAUAGAAGAUCAAUCUCAUGAAUUGAUAAUAAUAAUAAAGGAACCAAAGUUACAAUUAAGUCUAAGAAAAAAAGACAAACUAUAUGAAAAUAAUGUAUUGUCUUUAUUAUUAGUAUAGAUAUAGAUAACUAUUUUUAUAUUCCUUUUGUUCUUUUCGACAGACUUGCUGUUAUAGAUAUUGAUAUGUAUUAUACAGUGUACUUAAUUAGAGCAUAUGACUAUUUUUAAUAGAUGAAAUUAAAAUUUUCAGUUACAUGUUGAUGAUAAGCAGUUGAUAACACAUCUAAGUAAUUAUAGUGAAACUGCUUAAUCAGACUCCUUGAAACUUUUUACAGGAUCCUUUUCCAGAACCAGUGUUUCCUCCACAUAAAUGUCAUUUCUUCAAUGGGAAUUCCCUUAGUUUCAGGUAGGAACAAAUAAAC
RNAcentral lists this long non-coding RNA (10435 nucleotides) under Cicer arietinum (chickpea). Its description in RNAcentral is "long non-coding RNA (CARI_LNC002204)". Lineage: Eukaryota; Viridiplantae; Streptophyta; Magnoliopsida; Fabales; Fabaceae. The record is from RNAcentral.